Molecule: small RNA, 545 nt
Filed under: Pan troglodytes (chimpanzee)
Lineage: Eukaryota; Metazoa; Chordata; Mammalia; Primates; Hominidae
Description: processed transcript
Source: RNAcentral
AGGCUGGACCGCGGGCCCCGGCCUGGGGGCCACUGCUGCCACCGCCGCCGCCACCUCGUCUCCUCCCCGUCCCCGCCCAGCCCCAGGUCUCCCCGCCUCACUCGGGCCCGUGGCCGGGGUCACUUCCCGCCGCCCCUCCCCGCACGGAUGCCGAAGGUGAAGGCGCUGCAGUGCGCCCUGGCGCUGGAGAUCAGCUCAGUAACUUGCCCAGGAGUCGUGCUUAAAGACAAAGAGGACAUCUAUCUUAGCAUCUGUGUGUUUGGCCAAUACAAAAAGACACAAUGUGUCCCAGCCACUUUUCCCCUGGUCUUCAAUGCCAGAAUGGUGUUUGAAAAGGUGUUCCCGGACGCAGUAGAUCCUGGAGAUGUGGUUACACAGCUUGAAUAUGAUACAGCAGUGUUCGAGUUGAUACAGCUAGUUCCACCAGGGUAUCUUUCUUGUAGUGGGUGAAACACUGUCUACGUAUGACGAAAAUACACGAGAUUUCAUGUUUCCGGGUCCAAACCAAAUGUCUGGACACCAUGAUUCAAACCGCCAGGUUACCA